Oryza sativa Japonica Group (Japanese rice) is the source of this 3703-nucleotide RNA transcript. It is a transcript of the gene named FACT complex subunit SPT16-like, with no coding region annotated. The record is from RefSeq and is a predicted model, not a curated record. NCBI's taxonomy places the organism in Eukaryota, Viridiplantae, Streptophyta, Magnoliopsida, Poales, Poaceae.
AGCCCCACCCACCCCCCACCCCCGAACCCUCGCCCUCCUCACCCCGCGCACCCCCUCCACCUCGCCGCCGCCGCCGACUCGCCGGGGCUCGCCGCCACCGGUGGUGGGGGGGAGCUCGACCUCCUCGCCCCACGCGCGCAUCCGGACGCCGUCGUUCUGGGCGCGGGAGAGAUCCGUCCGUCGCCCCCCGCUGGGCUUGCGCCAUCCUCUCGCCGGUUCACUGGGUUAAUGUGAGCUUCUUGAUAAAAUAUGGCGGAUAAUGGUAAUGCAAAGCCAGGUGGUGGGGGAUCUGGAGCUUAUACAAUCAACCUAGAUAACUUCAGUAAGCGGCUGAAGGUGUUCUAUGACCAUUGGAAAGAGCAUAAUUCUGAUCUAUGGGGUUCUUCUAACGCUAUUGCAAUUGCUACUCCACCUCCGUCUGAAGAUCUUCGUUAUUUGAAGUCGUCAGCUCUGGACGUCUGGCUACUUGGAUAUGAAUUUCCAGAAACCAUAAUUGUCUUCAUGCACAAGCAAAUACAUUUCUUAUGCAGUCAAAAGAAAGCAAAUCUCAUUGGCACCCUCAAGAAGGCUUCAAAUGAUGCUGUUGGUGCUGAUAUUGUCUUGCACGUGAAAGCUAAGAAUGACAGUGGUGUUGGCUUAAUGGAGGACAUAGUGCGUGCUGUCUGUGCUCAGUCAAAAUCAGAUGACCCAAUUGUUGGUCACAUCGCAAAAGAGGCACCUGAGGGUAAGCUCCUUGAAGCUUGGGCAGACAAAUUGUCUAGCUCAUCUGUGCAACUUACAGAUAUAACGAAUGGCUUCUCUGAGCUUUUUGCUAUGAAGGAUACCUCAGAGAUCACAUGUGAAGAAGGCCUCCUACCUAACCUCAUCUGUAAUGAAAAAUUUUGUGGUUCCGAAGCUAGAGAAGGUGAUUGAUGAAGAGAGGAAAGUGACACACUCUUCAUUGAUGGAUGAGACAGAAAAGGCUAUUCUUGAUCCUCUUAAGGUCAAAGUGAAGUUGAAGGCUGAAAAUGUUGACAUAUGCUAUCCUCCUGUAUUUCAAAGUGGAGGGAAGUUUGACCUCAAGCCAGGUGCCUCAAGCAAUGAUGAUUAUCUUUACUAUGACUCUGCAAGUGUUAUCAUAUGUGCAAUUGGGGCCAGAUAUGGAAAUUAUUGCUCCAAUAUGGCCAGAACAUUUCUGAUAGAUGCUACUCCUGCACAGAGCAAGGCGUAUGAAACUCUUAUGAAAGCUCAUGAAGCUGCUCUAGAAGCAUUGAAGCCAGGGAAUCGGAUGAGUGCGGUUUAUCAGGCUGCAGUUGACGUUAUUGAGAAGAAUGCCCCUGAACUACUCCCUAAUCUAACGAAGUCUGCUGGUACAGGAAUUGGUCUUGAAUUCCGAGAGUCUGGCUUAAACUUGAAUCCCAAGAAUGACCGUAUCAUAAAAGCAGGAAUGGUUUUCAAUGUCUCCCUUGGUUUGCUUAAUCUUCAAGCAGAAACAAAGAGUGAGAAGACAAAACAAUACUCUCUUUUGUUGGCUGAUACAUGUUUAGUGCCAUUGGAGAACUUAACAGCAUCAUGCUCCAAGCUUCUUAAGGAUGUUGCUUAUUCGUUUAAUGACGAGGAUGAAGUUCUUCCUGUCAAAAAGGUGGAGGUUAAUGCAAAGGAGGCAUUGCCACCAACAAAGGCCACACUUAGGUCAGACAACCAGGAGAUGUCCAAGGAAGAGCUCCGGAGACAACACCAGGCUGAACUUGCUCGCCAAAAGAAUGAAGAGACUGCUAGAAGGCUUGCUGGGGUUGGCUCUGGUUCUGGUGAUGGGCGUGGUCCCUCAAGGUCAUCAAAUGAGCUUGUUGCAUAUAAGAAUGUUAAUGAUGUUCCAUAUGCAAGAGAGUUGGUCAUACAAGUAGAUCAGAAGAAUGAAGCUGUCCUCUUACCUAUUCAUGGCAGCAUGGUUCCUUUCCAUGUUUCUACUGUUAAGAGUGUCACAAGUCACCAAGACAACCGCACUUGCACUAUCCGCAUCUUCUUCAAUGUGCCUGGCAUGCCAUUCUCAAACGAUAGCAAUCUGAAGUCGCAAGGGGCUAUCUACUUGAAGGAGAUCACGUUCCGCUCGAAAGAUCCACGACAUAGCAGUGAAGUUGUUCCGCAAAUCAAAACGUUGAGGCGGCAAGUUGCUUCAAGGGAGUCAGAGAGAGCUGAAAGAGCCACCCUUGUUACUCAGGAGAAACUCCAGUUGGCAAGCAACAGAAACAAGCCAGUGAGACUUUCUGAUGUGUGGAUAAGGCCUGCAUUUGGUGGACGUGGGCGGAAGCUUACAGGAACUCUUGAGUCCCAUGUCAAUGGUUUUAGAUAUUCUACUUCAAGGGCUGAUGAGCGUGUGGAUAUCAUGUAUGGGAAUGUAAAGCAUGCCUUCUUCCAGCCAGCAGAAAAAGAAAUUAUUACACUCCUUCAUUUCCAUUUGCACAAUCAUAUUAUGGUUGGAAACAAGAAGACAAAGGAUGUUCAAUUUUAUGUUGAGGUGAUGGAUGUUGUUCAGACUCUUGGUGGGAAUAGGAGAUCAGCUCUUGAUCCUGAUGAAAUUGAAGAAGAGCAGCGUGAGAGGGACCGAAAGAAUAGAAUAAACAUGGAUUUCCAGAACUUUGUGAACAAGGUUAAUGAUCACUGGUCGCAGCCACAAUUCAAGGGGCUGGAUCUUGAGUUUGAUGUCCCUCUUAGAGAGCUUGGAUUCCAUGGUGUUCCAUAUAAAGCUUCAGCUUUCAUCAUUCCAACUUCGACUUGUUUGGUUGAACUAAUAGAGACACCCUCUCCCCCCCCCCCCUCUGCGAGGAUCCUCCGUCGAGCAUCUCUCGGCGCACGAGCUGAAGCUGGUGACCACCGGCGGCGCGCCGUUCUGCUGCGACGGCUGCAUGCAGCCCGGCGACGACGGCGCCGGCUACCGGUGCGGCGGUGCGACGUCUGCCACUUCGACCUGCGCACGUGCUGCGCGCUCCCGCCGGCCACCCUGGAGAACGACAUGUUCGAGGUCAGCGCGUUCGCGUUCCUCGCCGAGCCGCCGGCGGCGCCCGCCGCCGCGGGCGGCAGGAUCUGCGACGCCUGCGGCGACGGCGUGCGCGGCUUCGUCUACCACUCCGACGACCCCCGACCUCGACCUCCACCCAUGCUGCGCGUUCCUGCGCAGGCGCGUCGUGGUGCAGGACGGCCGCCACUUCGAGCUCCGCAAGCGCGCGCAGCCGCGCCGGCCUGUGCGGCGAGAGGAGCGGCCGCCGCCGCAACUUCUGGGCGUACCGGACCUACGACGACGACGGCGAACCCGUGUACCUGCACAUCGCGUGCGUCAAGGACGGACACCGCGGGCGGUGCGCGGCGGCGGUGUGGCGGCGAGAUCGUGCUGGUGAGCUCGUCGCCGGCGAUGGACGGCGUGCUGCAGAGCGUGCCCCGGAGGAGGACGCCGCGGAGCGGCGGGUUCGAGAGGUUUUGCAAGAUUGUUAACGUCGUCGUGAGCGUCAUCAUCGCGGUCAUAUUCGGGAGUCCCAUGGCGAUGAUAAGCGCGGUUGCAGGGCCCGAUGGUCUCCUCCGUGGGUAGGGAGAUAGUGCGAAAAUAAUCAAAAUGAUAUCCGUUGUGAAUUAGUGCAAAACACAUUCAUAUUCAACUCAAAUUGGGACGAUCCGACGAUGAGAAAUUUGAAAAAUAAAUAGCAAUGGAUAUGUGACGCGAUAUUCUGCCUAA